RNAcentral lists this ribosomal RNA (497 nucleotides) under uncultured bacterium. RNAcentral describes it as "partial 16S ribosomal RNA". It matches the Rfam family "Bacterial small subunit ribosomal RNA", at positions 28 to 507 of the family's 1533-position model. The record is from RNAcentral.
GACGAACGCUGGCGGCGUGCCUAAUACAUGCCAGUAGAACGCUGAAGAGAGGAGCUUGCUCUUCUUGGAUGAGUUGCGAACGGGUGAGUAACGCGUAGGUAACCUGCCUUGUAGCGGGGGAUAACUAUUGGAAACGAUAGCUAAUACCGCAUAACAAUGGAUGACACAUGUCAUUUAUUUGAAAGGGGCAAUUGCUCCGCUACAAGAUGGACCUGCGUUGUAUUAGCUAGUAGGUGAGGUAAUGGCUCACCUAGGCGACGAUACAUAGCCGACCUGAGAGGGUGAUCGGCCACACUGGGACUGAGGCACGGCCCAGACGCCUACGGGAGGCAGCAGUAGGGAAUCUUCGGCAAUGGGGGCAACCCUGACCGAGCAACGCCGCGUGAGUGAAGAAGGUUUUCGGAUCGUAAAGCUCUGUUGUAAGUCAAGAACGGGUGUGAGAGCGGAAAGUUCACACUGUGACGGUAGCUUACCAGAAAGGGACGGCUAACUACGUG